This 1481-nucleotide ribosomal RNA is filed under the name metagenome. RNAcentral's name for it is "bacterial SSU rRNA". It matches the Rfam family "Bacterial small subunit ribosomal RNA". The record is from RNAcentral.
AGAGUUUGAUCCUGGCUCAGGAUGAACGCUAGCGGCAGGCCUAAUACAUGCAAGUCGAGGGGUAAGGCUCAUUUCGGUGAGUACACGACCGGCGCACGGGUGCGUAACGCGUAUGCAACCUACCUUUAACAGGGGGAUAGCCCGAAGAAAUUCGGAUUAACACCCCAUAACACUGCGAUGUGGCAUCACAAUGCAGUUAAAACUCCGGUGGUUAAAGAUGGGCAUGCGUGACAUUAGAUAGUUGGUGAGGUAACGGCUCACCAAGUCUACGAUGUCUAGGGGUUCUGAGAGGAUGAUCCCCCACACUGGUACUGAGACACGGACCAGGCUCCUACGGGAGGCAGCAGUAAGGAAUACUGGUCAAUGGAGGAAACUCUGAACCAGCCAUGCCGCGUGCAGGAAGACGGCCCUAUGGGUUGUAAACUGCUUUUAUAUAGGAAUAAACCUCUUCUCGUGAGAAGAGCUGAUGGUACUAUACGAAUAAGGACCGGCUAACUCCGUGCCAGCAGCCGCGGUAAUACGAGGGUCCAAGCGUUAUCCGGAUUUAAUGGGUUUAAAGGGUGCGCAGGCGGGCCUGCAAGUCAGUGGUGAAAUCCCGGGGCUCAACUCCGGAACUGCCAUUGAUACUACAGGUCUUGAGUUUGGUUGAAGUGGGCGGAAUGUAGCAUGUAGCGGUGAAAUGCAUAGAUAUGCUACAGAACACCGAUCGCGAAGGCAGCUCACUAAACCAAAACUGACGCUCAGGCACGAAAGCGUGGGUAGCGAACAGGAUUAGAUACCCUGGUAGUCCACGCCGUAAACGAUGAUUACUCGUUGUUGGCAACAUAUCGUCAGUGACCAAGCGAAAGCGAUAAGUAAUCCACCUGGGGAGUACGUUCGCAAGAAUGAAACUCAAAGGAAUUGACGGGGGCCCGCACAAGCGGUGGAGCAUGUGGUUUAAUCCGACGAUACGCGAGAAACCUUACCAGGGCUUGACAUCUACUGGAAUGUACAAGAGAUUGUACAGCCUGCUUGCAGGCCGGUAGACAGGUGCUGCAUGGUUGUCGUCAGCUCGUGCCGUGAGGUGUCGGGUUAAGUCCCAUAACGAGCGCAACCCCUAUUCUUAGUUGCCAUCAGGUCAUGCUGGGGACUCUAGGAAAACUGCCUACGCAAGUAGAGAGGAAGGUGGGGAUGACGUCAAAUCAGCACGGCCCUUACGUCCAGGGCUACACACGUGCUACAAUGGCCGGUACAGAGGGCAGCCACUGCGUGAGCAGGAGCGAAUCUCGAAAGCCGGUCUCAGUUCGGAUCGAAGUCUGCAACCCGACUUCGUGAAGCUGGAAUCGCUAGUAAUCGCGCAUCAGCCAUGGCGCGGUGAAUACGUUCCCGGGCCUUGUACACACCGCCCGUCAAGCCAUGGAAGCUGGGGGUACCUGAAGUCGGUAACCGAAAGGAGCUGCCUAGGGUAAAACUAGUGACUGGGGCUAAGUCGAAACAAGGUA